RNAcentral lists this non-coding RNA (24 nucleotides) under Arabidopsis thaliana (thale cress). Lineage: Eukaryota; Viridiplantae; Streptophyta; Magnoliopsida; Brassicales; Brassicaceae. The record is from RNAcentral.
CAGUCGGUAGACGGUUUUGUCCGC